This 3477-nucleotide long non-coding RNA is filed under the name Sus scrofa (pig). RNAcentral describes it as "lncRNA (ENSSSCG00000053308.1)". The record is from RNAcentral. Lineage: Eukaryota; Metazoa; Chordata; Mammalia; Artiodactyla; Suidae.
UUUUUUUUUUUUUUUUUGUCUUUUUAGGGCUGCACUGGUGGCAUAUGGGAGUUCCCAGGCUAGGGGUCUUCCUGGGGUAGGGGUUGAAUCAGAGCUGCAGCUACUGGUCUACACCACAGCCAUAGCAAUGCCAGAGUCCAGCAGCGUCUGCGACCUACACCACAGCUCCACAGUGAUGCCAGAUCCUUAACCCACUGAGCGAGGCCAGGGAUCGACCAUGUGUCCUCGUGGAUACUAGUAGGAUUCGUUCCCACGGAGCCACCAUGGGAACUCCACAAUUUGUUUUCUGAUCACCAGACCUAAUAAAGGGCAUUUCCUAGAAAUUAAUCAGCUGAGGAAGAGUUGCAAGGGUUUGGUUGGGUUCUGAGUGGUUGUUUUGACUAGAGACACAUGGGCUCUUGUUAAAAAGUGAAAUUUCCAGAGCUUUCCCAAGCCCUAGUGGAUUUCCUGCCCCUUGGCCCUUGUGUUUAUACCAACCAGGUUGUUUACACCAACCUGAGGGCCAGUUCGGGGCCACCAUUUUCCUAAAAAACUUCAUUCCUUUACCCUCUAAGUCCUUGCUCUUUCUGGAAUUUCCUUCAUUUGUCAGAUUUAGCAAAUAAAAAUACAGAAUGUCCAGUUCAAUUUGAGCUUCAGAUGAACAGCAAAUGUUUUCAGGGGUUCUUCCAGUUGCUGAGUAUAUCUGUUCCAAUUAUGCCUGCCAGAACUGGGAAAUAACCACAGGAUGGGUUCAUGGAUUCACUAGACCCACUGUGAAAUGGACCUGAACUAAAACUUUUUUUUUUUGCAAAUUUUAGUUUUUUUUUUUUUAAUGAAUAUACAAACUUUGAGCUCCCUGAAAGUAGAAAAAAAAUGGUUGUGUGUUUUUUUUGUUUGUUUGUUUUUGUUUUUUAAUUAUAGUUGAGGAGUUCCCAUCCUGGCUCAGUGGUUAACAUACUUGACUAGGAUCCAUGAGGACACAGGUUCUAUCCCUGGCCUCGCUUAGUGGGUUAAGGACUCAGCGUUGCCGUGAGCUGUGGUGUAGGUCACAGAUGCAGCUCCAGUCCCACGUUGCUGUGGCUGUGGUGUAGGCUGGCAGCUGUAGCUCCAACUGGACCCCUAGCCUGGGAACCUCCAUAUGCCGCCAGUGCGGCCCUAGAAAUAAAUAAAUAAAUAAUUGUUUUACAGUAUUGUGCCUAUUUCUGCUGCACAGCAAAGUGACACAGUCAUCCAUACAUAUACAUUCUCUUUUUUAUAUUAUCUUCCAUCAUGUUCUAUCCUAAGAGUCUGGAUAUAGUUCCCUGUCUAUACAGUAGGACCUCAUUGCUUAUCCAUUCUAAAUGCAAUAGUUUGCAUCUACGAACCCCAAACUCCCAGUCCCACUCCCUCCCUCUUCCCCCUUGGCAACCAGAAGUCUGCUGAACUAAAAUUUUUGAUUGAGAGUCCGACCUCCAUAAGCCCCUGCUCUGACUGGUGGACCACAGUGACAUCUUGGGCCCCCUGGAAUUAGCGUCACUUCAGAGCUAGUGUCCAGUAUCCCCAGGUGAUCGGACUGUUUCUUUUUUCUAAUGCACUGUCACCCUGAUAAAAGGCUGAGUGUCCCUUUGGGGAGGGCUGGGAGAGAAGUUCACUGUAGAAGUUCCUGGCAGGGUAGCAUGGUCCUUCCUCAAGGGACCCAGCCUCUCUCCCUUUCAUUCAAAGCAUUCUGGGUCUGUUAACUGACGCAAGUCUGGACAUUGGUGGGGGGGGGGGCCUGACUCUCUGUUUUGGCGAUUUCAAGUGAAAUUUCUGUUCACUUGACCUAAAAUUCUUCUGCUUGUACAGAUGAAGCAUUUAGCAGAUGGCCCAUCUGUUUAUUUUCUAGUUACUCUGUGAUCAGGAGAUAACACCAUACAUCUCUGUGAGUCAGACUAUUCUGAUUACUGUUUUGACUCGCAGUCCAUUAUGGUAAUCACACCCACCUUGCUUUGGGUGCCUAUAAGCACUGUUAUUUGGUCCCAGACACCCAGGAUCCAAUUAUCCCCAUUGCAUUUAGGGAUCCCAGCUUAGUAGUCAUAGUUCCCACUGUGAUUUCUGAUACACAGAGAAGAGGGAGCACAGACCUCUUCAAGGAUGCUGGCGCUCCUUCACAAAUGUAUUUCUCAUGGUCAUGGUGACUGUCCCAGGGCAGAUGGGCAAGUCUUACACAAUAAAUCCACUCUGACAUUCCAACCUCCCUAAGCCUUUGAAUGCCUUCCUCUACCAUCCUCUGCAGGAUAUCAAAGCAGUCCUGGCAUUUCAGCUUCCCUUAGUGUAGGCUGCCUUUUGCUCCAUGUUUCAGCCAACCAAUCAGCCAGCCAGCCAACCAACCAACCAGUCAGGCAACCAGCCAACCAGCCAACCAAACAACCAACCAACCAACCAACCAACCAACCAACCAGCCAUCCAUCCAUCCAACCAGCCAACCAACAAGCCAUCCAACCAACCAACCAACCAGUCAACCAAUCAACCAAUGAAAUCAUUAGGACCCUUUCUGAUACCCCCAAGUUGCAACAUUAAAUCUAGAAUUUCUACUUAGUGGGCUCAUACAAAUAAAUUUGGCCUGAUCCAACUUCAGAUUCCUUCCAGCAUUAUCCCACACCCUCAAUAGCCAUUCCCACACAUAAUCCCCAGGUUUCUGUCCGUAGGUUGUAAAAACCAUCCAGUUCAUUUGAAAUGCAGUGCCCAUCUUCAUAGGUCACAUUUUUGUACCUCAUUCUUUGGAACCUGCUGGGACUUGAGUCUAGUUACAGGUCUAGAAGCAAAAAGGGGUGGGGCGGUGGGUCUUAAGGAAGAUCAACAAUGUUUUGCAAGGGGAAAUGACUAGAGUUUCUUUCAGCAAAGCAGGGUUAACCUCCUCAGACCAGGAUGGGGUGGGGUGGGCAGGAGAAGGAGGGAGGGCUGUCCCUACUGGCAAAGGAGACUCAGCUAAGUGUAGGGGACCCAUGUCCCCAGACUCACCGGGAUCUGACCAAACGUCCUCAUUCCAAUUUUCAGGAUUUCCUUCCUUUCUCAUGAAUGACUCACUUUUUUGGUCUUUUUUUUAGGGCCACACCCAUGGCAUAUGGAGGUUCCCAGGCUAGGGAUCCAGUCGGAGCUGUAGCUGCCGGCCUACGCCAAAGCCACAGCAACUCGAGGUCUGAGCCUCGUCUUCGACCUACACCACAGCUCAAGGCAACACCAGAGCCUUAACCCACUGAGCAAGGCCAGGGAUUGAACUUGCAAGCUCACGGGUCCUAGUUGGAUUUGUUUCCACUGCGCCAUGACGGGAACUCCAUGAAUGAUUCACUUUAACAGCAGAUUCCUGGAGGUUGUGCGUUCAGUUUGUUUUGUAAUCUAAUAACUCUCAAGAUGAGACUGGGAGUUCCCUGGUGGUUUAGCAGGUUAAGGAUACAGCAUUGUCAUCGCUGUGGCUCUGUUUGCAGCUGUGGUAUAGUGUCAGUCCCUGGCCUGGGAACUCCCACAUGCCACAGGUGAGAC